GCAGUCGUGGCCGAGUGGUUAAGGCGUCUGACUCGAAAUCAGAUUCCCUGUGGAGUGUAGGUUCGAAUCCUACCGGCUGCG
This 81-nucleotide transfer RNA is filed under the name Schistocerca americana (American grasshopper). Its description in RNAcentral is "tRNA-Ser". It matches the Rfam family "tRNA". Rfam says of the family: Transfer RNA (tRNA) molecules are approximately 80 nucleotides in length. Their secondary structure includes four short double-helical elements and three loops (D, anti-codon, and T loops). The record is from RNAcentral. Lineage: Eukaryota; Metazoa; Arthropoda; Insecta; Orthoptera; Acrididae.